Molecule: non-coding RNA, 78 nt
Organism: Schistosoma margrebowiei
Lineage: Eukaryota; Metazoa; Platyhelminthes; Trematoda; Strigeidida; Schistosomatidae
Source: Rfam
AGCUUUUCGAAUCCGUGCUGAGAUUUCUUCCGAUACCAGUCCAUUAGGGCUGAUCAGACUUCCAAGAUAAGUGAAGUU